GUGGCUUAAUUUGACUCAACGCGGGAAAUCUUACCGGGUCCGGACACACUGAGGAUUGACAGGUAUUAUAUAGCGCGCUUGCGCGUCUAUUGUUAAAUAUGCUAGUCCUUUCAUGAUUAUGUGAUAGGUGGUGCAUGGCCGUUCUUAGUUCGUGGAGUGAUCUGUCUGCUUAAUUGCGUUUCAGAUAAGGAUCUAUAUUCUUUACAGAAGUGUUGCGUUGUGCAUUUGACCCCUCGUUCGCGAGUGCGUGUCUUUUCGCGCUCGCACGCUUUUUACAUUAGGUCCUGAAAGCAACGAACGUGACCGCAACCUCUUGUUGCCUCAUCUCCCUACUUUUUUAGCACUUCGGUGUUGAAUAAUUUCAUUGAGGCUUUCCAAAACUAGAGGGACCGCUGUCAACUUCUUAAACCAGAGGAAGGUUGCGGCAAUAACAGGU
Molecule: ribosomal RNA, 436 nt
Filed under: Globigerinita glutinata
Lineage: Eukaryota; Foraminifera; Rotaliida; Globigerinitidae
Description: SSU rRNA
Rfam family: Eukaryotic small subunit ribosomal RNA
Source: RNAcentral